This 266-nucleotide unclassified non-coding RNA is filed under the name Glomeraceae sp. RNAcentral describes it as "partial contains 5.8S ribosomal RNA and internal transcribed spacer 2". The stretch from base 1 to 71 matches the Rfam family "5.8S ribosomal RNA", at positions 84 to 154 of the family's 154-position model. Lineage: Eukaryota; Fungi; Glomeromycota; Glomeromycetes; Glomerales; Glomeraceae. The record is from RNAcentral.
GUGAAUCAUCAAAUCUUUGAACGCAAAUUGCGCUUCUUGGCAUUCCGGGAAGUAUGCCUGCUUGAGGGUCAGUAUUAAUAAAAAAUCGGUUUAGUUACAUAUUGUGACGUUUUCGGAGUUUGGGCUAUCUUAACAUUUUUGGUUAAGUGGCUUAAAAUUGACAUUUUUUGUGCAUUUUUAAAAGUACAUAAAUUUUUUUUCUUCGUCUAUUCUUAAUGCAAUAAUUUUAUUAGAUGUGAUGACAUCGUAUGGCCUCGAGUUAAUAA